Molecule: unclassified non-coding RNA, 281 nt
Filed under: Glomus sp.
Lineage: Eukaryota; Fungi; Glomeromycota; Glomeromycetes; Glomerales; Glomeraceae
Description: partial contains 5.8S ribosomal RNA and internal transcribed spacer 2
Rfam family: 5.8S ribosomal RNA (bases 1-65)
Source: RNAcentral
GUGAAUCAUCAAAUUUUUGAACGCAAAUUGCAAUCUCUUCGGAGAGUAAGCCUGUUUGAGGGUCAGACUAAAAAAAAUCGACAUAGUUGCUGUUUCGCGGUGACAUUCGUUGGAAAUUGGGUCAUCUUAAACCUUUGGGUUUAAGCGGCUUAAAAUCUUCUUUACGAUUCCACGAACGUUUCUAAGAUUUUACUUCUUACACGUUUAAGGUAUCGAUCUUUAUUAGACGUGGCCGUUGUAUCGGAUCACGCUCAUAAAUAUUUAGGUAAUUGAUCUCAUAC